RNAcentral lists this ribosomal RNA (301 nucleotides) under uncultured bacterium. RNAcentral describes it as "partial 16S ribosomal RNA". It matches the Rfam family "Bacterial small subunit ribosomal RNA", at positions 509 to 809 of the family's 1533-position model. The record is from RNAcentral.
CAGCAGCCGCGGUAAUACGAAGGGUGCAAGCGUUACUCGGAAUUACUGGGCGUAAAGCGUGCGUAGGUGGUGGUUUAAGUCCGUUGUGAAAGCCCUGGGCUCAACCUGGGAAUUGCAGUGGAUACUGGAUCACUAGAGUGUGGUAGAGGAUAGUGGAAUUUCCGGUGUAGCAGUGAAAUGCGUAGAGAUCGGAAGGAACAUCUGUGGCGAAGGCGACUAUCUGGGCCAACACUGACACUGAGGCACGAAAGUGUGGGGAGCAAACAGGAUUAGAUACCCGUGUAGUCCUGUCUCUUAUACA